RNAcentral lists this ribosomal RNA (371 nucleotides) under uncultured organism. RNAcentral's name for it is "bacterial SSU rRNA". It matches the Rfam family "Bacterial small subunit ribosomal RNA", at positions 526 to 896 of the family's 1533-position model. The record is from RNAcentral.
CAGAGGGUGCGAGCGUUAAUCGGAAUUACUGGGCGUAAAGCGUGCGUAGACGGUUAUUUAAGUCGGGUGUGAAAGCCCCGGGCUCAACCUGGGAAUUGCAUUCGAGACUGAAUAGCUAGGGUACGGUAGAGGGAAGCGGAAUUUCCGGUGUAGCGGUGAAAUGCGUAGAUAUCGGAAGGAACAUCAGUGGCGAAAGCGGCUUCCUGGACCAGUACCGACGUUCAGGCACGAAAGCGUGGGGAGCAAACAGGAUUAGAUACCCUGGUAGUCCACGCCAUAAACGAUGAGGACUAGACGUUGGAAGGGUAAGCCUUUCAGUGUCGUAGCUAACGCGCUAAGUCCUCCGCCUGGGGAGUACGGCCGCAAGGUUG